GAUCUCAAAUCAGGUAGGACUACCCGCUGAACUUAAGCA
RNAcentral lists this ribosomal RNA (39 nucleotides) under uncultured Tomentella. RNAcentral's name for it is "partial 28S ribosomal RNA". The record is from RNAcentral. Lineage: Eukaryota; Fungi; Basidiomycota; Agaricomycetes; Thelephorales; Thelephoraceae.